RNAcentral lists this microRNA precursor (112 nucleotides) under Oryza punctata. RNAcentral describes it as "MIR1428 microRNA precursor family". It matches the Rfam family "MIR1428 microRNA precursor family". Lineage: Eukaryota; Viridiplantae; Streptophyta; Magnoliopsida; Poales; Poaceae. The record is from Rfam by way of RNAcentral.
AAGCUUUGUGAAUUCACAGGCCCUAUCUUAUGGUAUGAACUGAGUACGCGAUGAUAUUUAUGGUGCGUAUCGAGGGCUUAUCAUGAGACAAGGCCAUGAAUUCGCGAAGCGU